CUAAGAACCCUGAUUGACCAGGAAGAAAAAAAAUUAAGUCUGAAUCAUGUCCCUCAAGAGCUUGGCACACACGUGAUUUCAAUACAGUCCGUGUUCUGGAGGAAAGACGGGACUCUUGGAGCUUCAGUAAGGAACACAAAGGCCUUUGACUGCAAGGAACUCAGUCUACUGGGAGAGAUGGAUACAUCAACAGAAUCAUCGAAAUGCCUUUCCUUUAAAGCAAAGACCAUUCAGAAUCAAAGGCUCAUUUCCUGGAAAUACAGGGCUGGACGGCAGCCAUCCCUCAAAUGAGGCCCCAUGGAGAAGACUUGGAAAUGCACGCUCCCAACUCAGGUUUCCAGUGGAUGCAUAUUAAACCCCAAGGACUGGAAGCUGAGGUCAUGGAUUGCUUUCUCAUUGCUGUCAAGGUGCCCAAAAAAAAGAGACACUGUUUGCACCCCCGGGCUCACUGGUUCAGUCUUUCUCCUUCUUCCCCGGCUUCUCACCACUCCUCAUGCACUGUCGGUGGAAGCCCUGCCUCUACCUGCAAUAGGAAACUGAGCCGAGAGACGGUCCCCUUACGGCCUCUAACCUGCGCAUCUCAGGCACGAGAUCCUCUCCCUUCAGCAUUCCUGCCUUCCUUAUUCCCUGUGUCCUGGGACCUCUGCACACCUUAUCUCCAGCCCUGUUUGGCAUCGACAUUCUAA
This 686-nucleotide long non-coding RNA is filed under the name Sus scrofa (pig). RNAcentral's name for it is "lncRNA (ENSSSCG00030031287.1)". Lineage: Eukaryota; Metazoa; Chordata; Mammalia; Artiodactyla; Suidae. The record is from RNAcentral.